Molecule: ribosomal RNA, 553 nt
Filed under: Thorelliola cf. mahunkai JXZ-2013
Lineage: Eukaryota; Metazoa; Arthropoda; Arachnida; Araneae; Salticidae
Description: partial 16S ribosomal RNA
Source: RNAcentral
UUAAUAGUAAGAUCUGCUCCAUGAUAACUAAAUAGCCGCAAUUUGUGCUAAGGUAGCAUAAUCAUUUGUCUUUUAAAUGAAGACUAGAACAAAAGAUUUAACAUUUUAAUCUAUAUAUUUUAUUUAUAAUUCUUAAUUUUUGUAAAUGUAAAAAAACAUUUAUAUUUUAGAUAGACGACAAGACCCUAUUGAACUUAACUUCAGUUAAACUGGGGAAGUAAAUUAAUUAUAAUUUUAAUAUAAAUAUCUAUAUAAAUAUCUAAAUAAUUAAUAAUUCAGUUACCAUAGGGAUAACAGCGCAAUUAUAUUUUAAAGUUCAUAUAUAAGAUAUAGAUUACGACCUCGAUGUUGAAUUAAUAAACUAAUUAAAGCAAAUUUUAAAAAAGAAAGUCUGUUCGACUUAUAACAAAUUACAUGAUUUGAGUUCAGACCGGUAUAAGCCAGGUCGGCUUCCAUCUUCUAUAAAAAAUUUUACAGUACGAAAGGACCUAAAAACUUAAUUAAAUUAAUUUAUUAGCAAAUAAAUGCAUUAGAAUUAGAAUCUAAAAAAACU